RNAcentral lists this ribosomal RNA (568 nucleotides) under Escherichia coli. RNAcentral describes it as "partial 23S ribosomal RNA". It matches the Rfam family "Bacterial large subunit ribosomal RNA", at positions 2251 to 2818 of the family's 2925-position model. The record is from RNAcentral. Lineage: Bacteria; Pseudomonadati; Pseudomonadota; Gammaproteobacteria; Enterobacterales; Enterobacteriaceae.
ACAGUGUCUGGUGGGUAGUUUGACUGGGGCGGUCUCCUCCUAAAGAGUAACGGAGGAGCACGAAGGUUGGCUAAUCCUGGUCGGACAUCAGGAGGUUAGUGCAAUGGCAUAAGCCAGCUUGACUGCGAGCGUGACGGCGCGAGCAGGUGCGAAAGCAGGUCAUAGUGAUCCGGUGGUUCUGAAUGGAAGGGCCAUCGCUCAACGGAUAAAAGGUACUCCGGGGAUAACAGGCUGAUACCGCCCAAGAGUUCAUAUCGACGGCGGUGUUUGGCACCUCGAUGUCGGCUCAUCACAUCCUGGGGCUGAAGUAGGUCCCAAGGGUAUGGCUGUUCGCCAUUUAAAGUGGUACGCGAGCUGGGUUUAGAACGUCGUGAGACAGUUCGGUCCCUAUCUGCCGUGGGCGCUGGAGAACUGAGGGGGGCUGCUCCUAGUACGAGAGGACCGGAGUGGACGCAUCACUGGUGUUCGGGUUGUCAUGCCAAUGGCACUGCCCGGUAGCUAAAUGCGGAAGAGAUAAGUGCUGAAAGCAUCUAAGCACGAAACUUGCCCCGAGAUGAGUUCUCCCUGA